Molecule: ribosomal RNA, 472 nt
Filed under: uncultured bacterium
Lineage: Bacteria
Description: partial 16S ribosomal RNA
Rfam family: Bacterial small subunit ribosomal RNA
Source: RNAcentral
GACGAACGCUGGCGGCGUGCUUAACACAUGCAAGUCGAACGCUGAAGCUUGGUGCUUGCACUGGGUGGAUGAGUGGCGAACGGGUGAGUAAUACGUGAGUAACCUGCCCUUGACUCUGGGAUAAGCCUGGGAAACUGGGUCUAAUACUGGAUACGACAUGUCACCGCAUGGUGGUGUGUGGAAAGGGUUUUACUGGUUUUGGAUGGGCUCACGGCCUAUCAGCUUGUUGGUGGGGUAAUGGCCCACCAAGGCGACGACGGGUAGCCGGCCUGAGAGGGUGACCGGCCACACUGGGACUGAGACACGGCCCAGACUCCUACGGGAGGCAGCAGUGGGGAAUAUUGCACAAUGGGCGGAAGCCUGAUGCAGCGACGCCGCGUGAGGGAUGACGGCCUUCGGGUUGUAAACCUCUUUCAGCAAGGAAGAAGCGAAAGUGACGGUACGUGCAGAAGAAGCGCCGGCUAACUACGUG